Xenia sp. Carnegie-2017 is the source of this 1716-nucleotide long non-coding RNA. RefSeq lists it as uncharacterized. The record is from RefSeq and is a predicted model, not a curated record. NCBI's taxonomy places the organism in Eukaryota, Metazoa, Cnidaria, Anthozoa, Malacalcyonacea, Xeniidae. The transcript is spliced from 13 exons.
UCUCCACAAAAUGGGUGGGUUUUCUUUCUCGUUUCCUUAUCCUGAACUCAAUAGAUAAAAUAUCAACGAAAUUUACAGGGAAAAACAUUGCACUAUAUGUCAACAACUACUUGAGAACCCACACGCUGAUAGCAGCUUCUGAAAUAUUUAAAGAAGAAAAGUCUUCAAGUUUGAGAGCAGUAAUUUUGAAAGUUGUCGAAGUUUUGGCGAAGCCUUAAGAGUUGAUGAUGAAAAUUGGCACAUUGCCAUGAGGAAGUUGCAACAUUAAUCAGGAUCAAGUUUGAUGAACUUCUAACAAGCAAUUGGCAGAGAAGAAAGAGAUCCGUUUUCAAACUGUGAAUUCGUUAAUUGAUGGAAAGUAUUGGUGGUUUUCUUAUGCGCCUUGCUGAUGGACUGCUUACAAAACAACGAAGGGCAUCCAUCAUAUCGCUGCUAUAAGGCGAUAUGAUGGAUGCCCUUCCUUUGUUCGUUAUUCCCUUAAGACACACAUGACAACCAAGAAUUGCUGUUGUCAAAAUUAUUAUUAUUGUUUGCCUGAUGAGAUGAAGACAAGAAAGAGCUUUGGCUGAAAAACGUGAAAAGCAAUGUUACAAUUCGUUCGUUCAAGUUUGGUGAAGAAGCCAUUAUCUUUAAAGCGAUAUGCAGACAGAUAUAAUCAACAACAACUCGAUUUUCACGUUUGCCAGAGUCAGGAAUACUUUUAAAAAAGGUGCUGUUUCAGUUCAUUGAAAGUUCCGUUUAUUUGAAAUAUUUGAAAGAAACCAUUUGAAAUAUGUGACAAGGAGAAAUACUCUGAGGCGCUUUGCGCGUUUCGCAUCAAUGUUCAUUCAAUUGCUUCAAGUUUAGUCACAGCCACAAACGAAGAAUGUUUACGAAGCUCAAAGCCACAUGUUCAACCUUACGGUGGCUAUUUCUUUUCUCUAUAUGACGUGUUUUCUAAUAAAGUGGCAAUGUUACACUUCGUUCGUUGAAGUUUGGUGAAGAAGCCAUUAUCUUUAAAGUUGAAAGCGAUGUGGUGCGGAUAUAAUCAACAACAACUUGAUUUUCACGUUUGCCAGCAUCAGGAAUACUUUCAAAAAGUUUUGACACCGCCAUACAUGAAGAAUAAUGUUUACGAAGCGCAAAGCCACAUGAUGUGACAAGCUUGAAUUUCUGUGCAAGGAUUAUCGACGGUGGGAAUAAUUAUUAAAAUGGUUUUUUUUCUCAUUCCUUUUUUUUUGCUUUAGAUGAUCAUCGUGUGGUACAAGGCCUGCUCCUUUUCCCUCCCUUUAGCUAGGUGCGCUGAGAGAAGGUCCCUGACAAAGGACGGGUUGCGUGUUCUUCGGAGCUCGCUUUAACGUAACGUGGUCAUGUCGGACUAGAGCGCCCCAUUAGGCUCCCGCAAUGAAAUUUUCUGAUAAAGAUACAUUCUUAGAUAAUUAAGUCAAGCAGUUAAGUUAAGAAAAUUUUCUUUGUUUGUCUGAGGGAGCAAGAUAAAAGGGUCUAUGUUAUUGUGUGUAGUUGGUGUCAUUGUAAGGUUUAAGCUGGUGAGUUUAGCCUUGAAGGUCAAUACGGGGACAUGUAUCUUUGCCAAGACGUCAACAAAUCCAUUAAGCCCACUUCCAUCUCAGCAACAAUGAAAGAAACUUGCGUUGCUGAGCUCUGCUGGCUGGGUGGCGUCACCGCACAUUGACCCAGCUACCCAAUGACUUCCCUGAAUUUUCAUUAUGUGAAAAC